Molecule: ribosomal RNA, 565 nt
Filed under: uncultured bacterium
Lineage: Bacteria
Description: partial 16S ribosomal RNA
Rfam family: Bacterial small subunit ribosomal RNA
Source: RNAcentral
UGGGGAAUUUUGGACAAUGGGCGCAAGCCUGAUCCAGCCAUGCCGCGUGCGGGAAGAAGGCCUUCGGGUUGUAAACCGCUUUUGUCAGGGAAGAAAUCUUCUGAGUUAAUACCUCGGGAGGAUGACGGUACCUGAAGAAUAAGCACCGGCUAACUACGUGCCAGCAGCCGCGGUAAUACGUAGGGUGCAAGCGUUAAUCGGAAUUACUGGGCGUAAAGCGUGCGCAGGCGGUUUUGUAAGACAGAGGUGAAAUCCCCGGGCUCAACCUGGGAACUGCCUUUGUGACUGCAAGGCUUGAGUGCGGCAGAGGGGGAUGGAAUUCCGCGUGUAGCAGUGAAAUGCGUAGAUAUGCGGAGGAACACCGAUGGCGAAGGCAAUCCCCUGGGCCUGCACUGACGCUCAUGCACGAAAGCGUGGGGAGCAAACAGGAUUAGAUACCCUGGUAGUCCACGCCCUAAACGAUGUCAACUGGUUGUUGGGAAGGUUCCUUCUCAGUAACGUAGCUAACGCGUGAAGUUGACCGCCUGGGGAGUACGGCCGCAAGGUUGAAACUCAAAUGAAUUGA